RNAcentral lists this unclassified non-coding RNA (3655 nucleotides) under Dermacentor andersoni. RNAcentral's name for it is "phospholipase A and acyltransferase 3-like". The record is from RNAcentral. Lineage: Eukaryota; Metazoa; Arthropoda; Arachnida; Ixodida; Ixodidae.
CAACCUCUUCCCUCUGUCGCUGCAUCUCUCUCCCCACACCUCGAUAAAGAGUUGCGCUCCUGCCUGGCGCUCGGCAGCUGCGAGUGAACCGUUGGAGGAUCAGCAUCGAGAGAGCGCGUCCUUAUUUUGUAGGGCUUCCCCCGCACUCUGGAAAACGCUAACCCUGAGUGCAGACAAUAUAAGCUUCCUCAGUCAGCUGUGUUUCCAUAACAAGCCAAAGGACAACACGACGCGAUCGCUGAGAGGCGCAUCGCCUGACACAGCAGUGCACUGGAUACUAGUAAUCAGCAGCGUGCUACAGCAUCCUCGCGACGAGUCGACAUGCCCCAGCAACAGCAGCACAGCCCAGAGGUGGUGGUGCGGUACGGAUUGGGCUCGUUCGUGCCCGCUAGCGACCUGCGCCCCGCACCGGGCGAUCUGAUCGAGAUCGACCGUACGCUGUACGCUCACUGGGCGCUCUACGUCGGCAACGGUGACGUCGUGCACGUGGUGGGCCGCAACGAAGAGGACAUCCCCACGGACUUUGCGUACGUGCACCUGAGCAAGCUGACCGAUGUCGCCGGCUAUAGCGGGGUGCGCGUCAACAACAAGGAAGUGCGCGCCAAGGAGCGCUGCUUGGUGCCUUCGUCGGCGGCCGAAACGGUGGAGCGGGCCUACGCCAUGCUCGACCGGGAAGUGGAGUUCAACUUCCUCACCCGGAACGGGGAGUACUACGCAACGCAGUGGAAGUUCGGCAUCGGAUGGAGCGACCAGGCCACCGUGACGCUGAGCGUGAUGAAGCCUUUGGCGAAGAACCUCCAAGUGGGGCACACGACCUUCCUGGCGGGACUGCAGGCCGUCUUCGGAACGCCGACCACGGCGGCCAUUGCCAGGAUAGCGCCAAGCUCGCCGAGGACGCCACAGAAGAACGCCCCGACGAGCGUCGCCUAAGCUGGCUGUGACAUCGAAGCAGCGUACGCGAGGACUUGGCUGCUUCGCUUCCUCUUCAAACUGCGCGCCGCGUACGGACGGUCAUUUCUCGCCUGCGCGGUGUGAACGACGCGUAGAGACUGUGUGUACAAAGUCAAGCCGGGUUGUUAGUAUACCUCGAAUAACCGUUGUUGGACGAGGGGUAUUCGCGCAGAGAGAGAUGCCGCGUCCCGGUCCGAUCUCAGCGGGGUGUUUGUUUCCGCCACCGAUGGUCUGUGGACGCGGAUGCCUUCCCCUGAAGGCAUAAGCAAGGAAUGUGUAUGUAUUGUCGAGAAUGGCAAACGACCACCUUUCUUGUAUGUGUUGCCCUGUUGGCGACGGUUGUUGGCAGUCAGAUUUGUGAUUCAGGGUACGCGAAGUUGAACGAACAAGCGCCUUUUGUUUUUUUACAAUAUUUUUUCUACCGUUCCUUUUUGGAAAAGUAAGCUUUGUACUUUUUUUUGUAGGUUACGUUUACUGCCUCGGCCAAGUUACGCUGGCGUUCUCGCUUGAAGUGUAGUCCGGACCUUCAGACUUUGCACAAAGUUUCAUAUACAUAGGCUUUAAGAAGUUUCGGCAGCUGUUUCAAUUCCGCUCGUAAGUUAUACCGCUUGACACUGCCAGAGGCAGAAACUAGAUGCGCGAGGUUAGGACGAGACCAAGAAAGACUUGAAGAGAGUUGUUGUCUUCCUAGUCAUUACUUCCUUUGUGCAAAGCAUGAAGUUCCCACCCUUUUACGGUACCAAAACACAUGGUUACCGUACGUUGUUUUACAAGACGGUGACAAUUUCUUUGUCUUUCUUUUAAUGCUCGGAAUUUUUUUUCUUACACAAUUAUUAUAUACCUGUAUGUCCGUCUCAAUAUGUGUUGAGCACGGAUAGAAAACCGGCAAAAAAGAAUUCGACUCCGUGAGUGCUCUUGCUCAAGGAAGAAAGUGCAUUGUUGCCAACUGCCUUGAUUUAGUUUCUGCCAUAGGCAUUUCCAUUUCUCAUAUUCAUGUGCUUCAUUCGGCGGCAUUCGUGACGCCGUUCUAUCACUGUAAAUAUAUCAUGCCUGUUAGUGCUUGUAAAUAGUGUCACAAUCACGUACUGUUUCUCGCAAUGUUUGUAAGUAGUUCGUACAGGUGGCCUUGUCACAUUAGCCUCUUAACUCAAAGCUAACUUAAAGAUUUAAAUGAGCACGCGGAGCUUAUAUAUUCUUGCUCGGUGCAUGUCUGUUUUGUUUCUUUAGGAGGAUCAGCUGCAAUCUUAGGCUUUACGAAUCGUGAAAGCAGAGAAGGCUUAUCCAGUAAACAAAUGUAAUGCGCACAUUUAAUGAGUGAGCUCGUAUAUGCCAUAUCAGGCGGCCACUGCCUACUACGUCGCUUUGCAUACGAAGGCGCCGCGAGAGAAACUCUUGAAGAGAGAAAUCGCCGUCGUUUUGCUCUUGCUUCCACGGAAGAGCCAGCAUUUAAAGAAGAGCGCGAUGAUAUUUUGUGCUGCCAGAACACAACUUCGCUCCCAUAUUUUUGUGCCAAUGUGCCACGCGAUCUCCGAAAGCGAAGUAAGCGAGAUAGUUCAAAGUGAAAAGUGUGCAGAGGAAAGGAUAGCAAUAUUUUUCGAGACCUUCCGACAGCUGUGGUCCAGCCACCUGUGAUUGUUUUAUUUAUUUUCUUCCCCCUACCGGUUAUCGUAAUUUGCUCGCGCGUGAUCCUUUCUUGAGAGGAGGAGGAGGUCUAUAAGAGGCUGAGGCAGCGCGCGUUUGCUCGGCCAGCGUCGAGCAGAUUCAGCGCCCUAUGGAAUACGUCGAAAUUUGCCACGAAGUGGGCUUUUGAAAAAACCCUGUGGUGUCGAGUGAUAAAAAGAAAUUUUAUGCACAUGUUGCGUGUGCGAGGUGCGCGGGAUAAGUGCGAUUGUUGUGAUUGUUGUUUUGUUUUUUUUAUGUGCCGCGCAGCUGUUUGUUAUGAUACAUAUGUUAUAAAGAGGGAAAACUCGACCAGGGGGCGCGUAGCUGUUUUCAAACGCGUGUUCAACACGCGUGUCUUGUGAUGCUCUUCCUGAGCAGAGCUUGUUUUUAUGUCAUACCAGUUGCCAAACAGCGCCUCGGAAUAAAACCUCAUAUUGUGACUGCUUUUAUGAAGCUAUAGCAGCCCUAUGCUCAGUAAUCAAGAAAAUAUGCCAGUAUUUGAUGUUAAUCCAGCCUUAACGACUUAGCAUUCCAGCUUGGAUUUAUCUGUCCUAUAAGUGACGCUACAGCAACGUUUUCAAAUUUUGGCAGACUAAUUGGCUUAUGGAAGUUUCUUUUUUUUAAUCACGGGAUCUGUGGCAGGUUUAGCAACUGGUACAGCUAUUAGGAGCUUUGCUUUCUGAGGACCACGUUUUCUGCCCGAUAACAACUGUGUCGCAGCUCGCGUGCCUGCUGUCAUGGCGAGAUGCAAAACUAUAGGAGACAAGGCUUCGGCAAUUUCACUGAAACGAAUACAGUUUUUCUGUUUUGUUCCUGUGCUCUCAUCCGGGACACAGCACGGGCUGCGAGAACAACCUGUCCAUUAUUUCGGUUGUACAUAUUCACUGCGCGCAAUGUGAUCAUCAUCAUCGUCAUAAUGUUCCACGCACCACCGCUUCACCCCUGUGUUUUGUACAUAACGCGUGAGCUUUGAGUUAUCAUGUUGUUUCGGCGGGAAAAGAAAACGCGAACGAAAGAAACAAUAAAUGGGCGUUACCAGAAA